This 336-nucleotide long non-coding RNA is filed under the name Elaeis guineensis (African oil palm). RNAcentral describes it as "long non-coding RNA (EGUI_LNC001237)". The record is from RNAcentral. Lineage: Eukaryota; Viridiplantae; Streptophyta; Magnoliopsida; Arecales; Arecaceae.
CAAGCAAUCUUCUUUGAAGUCUUUAUUCAUGAUCAUGCAAUUUUUAUAAAGUACAUUGAAGGUCUCUAUAGGAGCAUCUAAAAGGAGCUGAAGCUCUUCCAAGUUAAAAAUAUCAGUAAAGUUAAUGUAAAGGCCAUCAGGAUUGAGAAGAAGAAUUAAUCUAAGAAAAGCAAUAAAGGUGACAAAUUCAAAAAGGACAGUAAAAGAUUAAGCCAAAAGAGGGACCAGGGCAAGAAGCAGACCAACAUGACUCAAAAAAAAUUUUGUGAUCACUACAAUAGUUCGGGACACAUCAAGAAGAAGUGUUUAAAACUUCACCCUAAGUUGCAUCCCAAG